RNAcentral lists this transfer RNA (69 nucleotides) under Macronectes giganteus. Its description in RNAcentral is "tRNA-Ala". It matches the Rfam family "tRNA". From Rfam's summary of the family: Transfer RNA (tRNA) molecules are approximately 80 nucleotides in length. Their secondary structure includes four short double-helical elements and three loops (D, anti-codon, and T loops). The record is from RNAcentral. Lineage: Eukaryota; Metazoa; Chordata; Aves; Procellariiformes; Procellariidae.
AAGAUUCUAGCUUAGUUAAAGCGCCUGAGUUGCAUUCAGGAGAUGUGGGUUAAUAUCCUGCGGAUCUUA